GUUAAUUGGGUGACGGCAGCCUCUGUCAGUCGAAUCUUGCUAAAGUUAGUCGGAAUUAUGUGGCUUAAAUGGUGCGUAGGGGGUGCAGAAAGUCGGGUGUGAAAUCCGCCAGCUCAAGUGGAGAAUUGCGCCCGGAACUGCUGUGCUUGAGAAAGAUAGAUGUACGCGGAACUUAGGGUGGAGCGGUGAAAUGCGUUGAUAUCCUAAGGAACACCGGUGGCGAAAGCGGCGUACUGGGUCUUUUCUGACGCUGAGGCACGAAAGCCAGGGUAGCGAACGGGAUUAGAUACCCCGGUAGUC
This 300-nucleotide ribosomal RNA is filed under the name uncultured Halogeometricum sp. RNAcentral's name for it is "bacterial SSU rRNA". It matches the Rfam family "Bacterial small subunit ribosomal RNA", at positions 496 to 795 of the family's 1533-position model. Lineage: Archaea; Methanobacteriati; Methanobacteriota; Halobacteria; Halobacteriales; Haloferacaceae. The record is from RNAcentral.